Molecule: ribosomal RNA, 468 nt
Filed under: uncultured bacterium
Lineage: Bacteria
Description: partial 16S ribosomal RNA
Rfam family: Bacterial small subunit ribosomal RNA
Source: RNAcentral
GACGAACGCUGGCGGCGUGCUUAACACAUGCAAGUCGAACGGAAAGGCCCUGCUUUUGUGGGGUGCUCGAGUGGCGAACGGGUGAGUAACACGUGAGUAACCUGCCCUUGACUUUGGGAUAACUUCAGGAAACUGGGGCUAAUAUCGGAUAGGAGCUCCUGCUGCAUGGUGGGGGUUGGAAAGUUUCGGCGGUUGGGGAUGGACUCGCGGCUUAUCAGCUUGUUGGUGGGGUAGUGGCUUACCAAGGCUUUGACGGGUAGCCGGCCUGAGAGGGUGACCGGCCACAUUGGGACUGAGAUACGGCCCAGACUCCUACGGGAGGCAGCAGUGGGGAAUAUUGCACAAUGGGCGGAAGCCUGAUGCAGCAACGCCGCGUGCGGGAUGACGGCCUUCGGGUUGUAAACCGCUUUCGCCUGUGACGAAGCGCGAGUGACGGUAAUGGGUAAAGAAGCACCGGCUAACUACGUG